AGUGGACGCUGGCGGUAGGCCUAACACAUGCAAGUCGAACGGCAGCACAGUAAGAGCUUGCUCUUACGGGUGGCGAGUGGCGGACGGGUGAGGAAUACAUCGGAAUCUACUUUUUCGUGGGGGAUAACGUAGGGAAACUUACGCUAAUACCGCAUACGACCUACGGGUGAAAGCAGGGGAUCUUCGGACCUUGCGCGAUUGAAUGAGCCGAUGUCGGAUUAGCUAGUUGGCGGGGUAAAGGCCCACCAAGGCGACGAUCCGUAGCUGGUCUGAGAGGAUGAUCAGCCACACUGGAACUGAGACACGGUCCAGACUCCUACGGGAGGCAGCAGUGGGGAAUAUUGGACAAUGGGCGAAAGCCUGAUCCAGCCAUACCGCGUGGGUGAAGAAGGCCUUCGGGUUGUAAAGCCCUUUUGUUGGGAAAGAAAAGCAGCAGGUUAAUACCCCGCUGUUCUGACGGUACCCAAAGAAUAAGCACCGGCUAACUUCGUG
This 492-nucleotide ribosomal RNA is filed under the name uncultured bacterium. RNAcentral's name for it is "partial 16S ribosomal RNA". It matches the Rfam family "Bacterial small subunit ribosomal RNA", at positions 29 to 507 of the family's 1533-position model. The record is from RNAcentral.